RNAcentral lists this long non-coding RNA (1122 nucleotides) under Capsicum annuum. Its description in RNAcentral is "long non-coding RNA (CANN_LNC022277)". The record is from RNAcentral. Lineage: Eukaryota; Viridiplantae; Streptophyta; Magnoliopsida; Solanales; Solanaceae.
UGGCAAGCACAUGAUAUAAGUAAUCCAUUUAAUCUAGAAAUUCUUUCUUCUUUUCAGUAUCUUUUGAGUACACUUUAUUCAAUCUAUUUAGAGAAACCAAUUUUCUCUUUUUCGUGGAACACUUCUUGAUAUAUUUGUACAAGAGAUCCUUGACAAUCCUUUUUCUGAUGCAUCCCAUGAUUUAUGCACCUUAGUAACUGCAUCAAUCUUCUUUUCCUUCUUGUUAGAUGUUUAUUCCUUUUUGAGGAUUGAAAAGAGAUCCUUCUGAAUAUUCUUUGUUACUAAAUUCUUGCAAUCAAAUGACUCAAGGAUCAUUCAUCAAACCUUAGCAUUAUCACUAAUAACCAAUUAUUCCAGGAGUCCCCUGCCUUUCUGCCAUAGCCUGCACUUGUCCGUCCAAAUGGUCGACCUUGCCAUCAAGUUGGGUCACUCAAUCCUUGUGUAUUUCCUUAGGGAUAGCCACUGCACUUGCUCUGUCUCUACAUAAACAAAGUGGGAAAUAAACAUUACAAAUCAAUACACAAACCAUGUCGGUCAGAGAUAUUACCCAUCAGAAGAGGAAAGAAACGUGAACUCCAUUAACGUUGUGUUAUAAGGAUGAUGGUUCUAUAUGUGACUGCAAACAGGGAACCAAGGUUCAUCUAUGCACCAAGUUUAUUGGUUGCAGGUGAUUCCACAAACAAGCAACUGUUUAAUACACGUACCUCUAUAGUUCUUGCACAUUCCACUGCAAUUCUUCUAACUUCACCAUGAAUCUAUCUAUUGAAUCAGUUACGAUGGCGAUCUCUUUAAGUCAAUUCGUUAUCCAAAGUUGUUCAUAGCAUAUAGUUUCAUCCAAGUAUCUUUCCAAAGUUUCUUCACUACCAUAGAACUCGUGUAGAGUAUGAAAAUAUUUAACACUAGAAAAGUUUUUACCAAAAAUGCAUCCUUGACAUCUUUUUGCAUAAGCACAUAUAAAGAAAACCCGUCUAGAUGUGGAAGGUAUCAAUUCCUUGGAGGCCAUGAAGUAUGAUGAAAGUUGAAGCAGUGAAGGAUCAAGUAAUCAAGAGGAGCAUGGAAAGAAAUUCAAGAAAGAAUUAACACCAAUAUACAAGAAAACUAUUCAUAAAAUUGAUUAUAUAC